This 648-nucleotide ribosomal RNA is filed under the name uncultured bacterium. RNAcentral's name for it is "bacterial SSU rRNA". It matches the Rfam family "Bacterial small subunit ribosomal RNA", at positions 76 to 719 of the family's 1533-position model. The record is from RNAcentral.
GUAGCAAUACUGAGGUGGCGACCGGCGCACGGGUGAGUAACGCGUAUGCAACCUGCCUGUAACAGGGGAAUAGCCUCUUGAAAGAGAGAUUAAUGCCGCAUAAUACGAUAUUCGGGCAUCCGGGUAUUUUUAAACAUUUAUGGGUUACAGAUGGGCAUGCGUUUCAUUAGGUAGUUGGUGAGGUAACGGCUCACCAAGCCGACGAUGAAUAGGGGUUCUGAGAGGAAGGUCCCCCACACUGGUACUGAGACACGGACCAGACUCCUACGGGAGGCAGCAGUGAGGAAUAUUGGUCAAUGGACGCAAGUCUGAACCAGCCAAGUCGCGUGAAGGAUGAAGGUAUUAUGUAUUGUAAACUUCUUUUGUCAGGGAAUAAUGGGUGUCACGUGUGACGCAGAGGAAUGUACCUGACGAAUAAGCAUCGGCUAACUCCGUGCCAGCAGCCGCGGUAAUACGGAGGAUGCGAGCGUUAUCCGGAUUUAUUGGGUUUAAAGGGUGCGUAGGCGGUUUGUUAAGUCAGUGGUGAAAGUUUGCGGCUCAACCGUAAAAUUGCCAUUGAAACUGGCGAACUUGAGUACAGUAGAGGUAGGCGGAAUUCGUGGUGUAGCGGUGAAAUGCUUAGAUAUCACGAAGAACUCCGAUUGCGAA